This 1496-nucleotide ribosomal RNA is filed under the name uncultured bacterium. Its description in RNAcentral is "bacterial SSU rRNA". It matches the Rfam family "Bacterial small subunit ribosomal RNA". The record is from RNAcentral.
AGAGUUUGAUCCUGGCUCAGAUUGAACGCUGGCGGCAUGCCUUACACAUGCAAGUCGAACGGCAGCACGGGGCAACCUGGUGGCGAGUGGCGAACGGGUGAGUAAUAUAUCGGAACGUACCCUAGAGUGGGGGAUAACGUAGCGAAAGUUACGCUAAUACCGCGUACGAUCUAAGGAUGAAAGUGGGGGAUCCGCAAGGACCUCAUGCUCGUGGAGCGGCCGAUAUCUGAUUAGCUAGUUGGUAGGGUAAAAGCCUACCAAGGCAUCGAUCAGUAGCUGGUCUGAGAGGACGACCAGCCACACUGGAACUGAGACACGGUCCAGACUCCUACGGGAGGCAGCAGUGGGGAAUUUUGGACAAUGGGCGAAAGCCUGAUCCAGCAAUGCCGCGUGAGUGAAGAAGGCCUUCGGGUUGUAAAGCUCUUUUGUCAGGGAAGAAACGGUUGACCCUAAUACGGUUGGCUAAUGACGGUACCUGAAGAAUAAGCACCGGCUAACUACGUGCCAGCAGCCGCGGUAAUACGUAGGGUGCAAGCGUUAAUCGGAAUUACCGGGCGUAAAGCGUGCGCAGGCGGUUAUGUAAGACAGAUGUGAAAUGCCCGGGCUUAACCUGGGAACUGCAUUUGUGACUGCAUGGCUAGAAUCUGGCAGAGGGGGGUAGAAUUCCACGUGUAGCAGUGAAAUGCGUAGAUAUGUGGAGGAAUACCGAUGGCGAAGGCAGCCCCCUGGGCUAAGAUUGACGCUCAUGCACGAAAGCGUGGGGAGCAAACAGGAUUAGAUACCCUGGUAGUCCACGCCCUAAACGAUGUCUACUAGUUGUCGGGUCUUAAUUGACUUGGUAACGCAGCUAACGCGUGAAGUAGACCGCCUGGGGAGUACGGUCGCAAGAUUAAAACUCAAAGGAAUUGACGGGGACCCGCACAAGCGGUGGAUGAUGUGGAUUAAUUCGAUGCAACGCGAAAAACCUUACCUACCCUUGACAUGGCUGGAAUCCCUGAGAGAUCGGGGAGUGCUCGAAAGAGAGCCAGUACACAGGUGCUGCAUGGCUGUCGUCAGCUCGUGUCGUGAGAUGUUGGGUUAAGUCCCGCAACGAGCGCAACCCUUGUCAUUAGUUGCUACGAAAGGGCACUCUAAUGAGACUGCCGGUGACAAACCGGAGGAAGGUGGGGAUGACGUCAAGUCCUCAUGGCCCUUAUGGGUAGGGCUUCACACGUCAUACAAUGGUACAUACAGAGGGCCGCCAACCCGCGAGGGGGAGCUAAUCCCAGAAAGUGUAUCGUAGUCCGGAUUGUAGUCUGCAACUCGACUACAUGAAGUUGGAAUCGCUAGUAAUCGCGGAUCAGCAUGUCGCGGUGAAUACGUUCCCGGGUCUUGUACACACCGCCCGUCACACCAUGGGAGCGGGUUUUACCAGAAGUAGGUAGCUUAACCGCAAGGAGGGCGCUUACCACGGUAGGAUUCGUGACUGGGGUGAAGUCGUAAACAAGGUAACCGUA